GGCGUAAAGGGCUCGCAGGCGGUUUUUUAAGUUCUGAUGUGAAAGCCCCCGGCUUAACCGGGGAGGGUCAUUGGAAACUGGGGAACUUUGAGUGCAGAAGAGGAGAGUGGAAUUCCACGUGUAGCGGUGAAAUUGCGUAGAGAUGUGGAGGAACACCAGUGGCGAAGGCGACUCUCUGGUCUGUAACUGACGCUGAGGAGCGAAAGCGUGGGGAGCGAACAGGAUUAGAUACCCUGGUAGUCCACGCCGUAAACGAUGAGUGCUAAGUGUUAGGGGGUUUCCGCCCCUUAGUGCUGCAGCUAACGCAUUAAGCACUCCGCCUGGGGAGUACGGUCGCAAGACUGAAACUCAAAGGAAUUGACGGGGGCCCGCACAAGCGGUGGAGCAUGUGGUUUAAUUCGAAGCAACGCGAAGAACCUUACCAGGUCUUGACAUCCUCUGACAAUCCUAGAGAUAGGACGUCCCCUUCGGGGGCAGAGUGACAGGUGGUGCAUGGUUGUCGUCAGCUCGUGUCGUGAGAUGUUGGGUUAAGUCCCGCAACGAGCGCAACCCUUGAUCUUAGUUGCCAGCAUUCAGUUGGGCACUCUAAGGUGACUGCCGGUGACAAACCGGAGGAAGGUGGGGAUGACGUCAAAUCAUCAUGCCCCUUAUGACCUGGGCUACACACGUGCUACAAUGGACAGAACAAAGGGCAGCGAAACCGCGAGGUUAAGCCAAUCCCACAAAUCUGUUCUCAGUUCGGAUCGCAGUCUGCAACUCGACUGCGUGAAGCUGGAAUCGCUAGUAAUCGCG
This 792-nucleotide ribosomal RNA is filed under the name Bacillus subtilis. Its description in RNAcentral is "bacterial SSU rRNA". It matches the Rfam family "Bacterial small subunit ribosomal RNA", at positions 557 to 1346 of the family's 1533-position model. Lineage: Bacteria; Bacillati; Bacillota; Bacilli; Caryophanales; Bacillaceae. The record is from RNAcentral.